This is a long non-coding RNA of Anopheles gambiae (African malaria mosquito), 2904 nucleotides long. RefSeq lists it as uncharacterized. The record is from RefSeq and is a predicted model, not a curated record. NCBI's taxonomy places the organism in Eukaryota, Metazoa, Arthropoda, Insecta, Diptera, Culicidae. The transcript has 4 exons.
CGUUUUGUAAGAUACAUAAAGUAAAAAAAAAUAAAUGAAAGAGUCUGCCUGAAAAAUGUUAUUAAAUAAGACAUUGAAAAAUGGCAUCAAAGCAAGAACACUCCAACAGACAGACAUCAAUUUUCAAUCCAGCCCAACUCAAACCAACAUGGCCACAUUAAAUAAACAUUACACAACGUGUUCAAGCAAAUCGCACAUUCAAAUCACAAGAUAGAUAAUAAAGAUUGAGUAUUAAUGUUUCGUUUUCGCUUGUUUUGCCGCUUGUUCCACCUCGCACCCUUGGAGGGUUAACCUCCCUAAAAUGGUAAAAUCAUAUCAAAAUAUGAAUAUUUUAUCAGAAUCCUUCCUUUCUUUCUGGCCUGAGGUUUAUUCCUUCCAUUCCAGGGGGUAGCAGUAGCCCACCACUAGGCAAUCGAAACGGUUUGCUUCUCUUUAUUGGUUGAGUAGGCAGUGAACAAAUCAGGCCCGCGGUGUAAUCUGCAACACAAAUCGGGGAAGCCUCCACAUCGUCAUACGUCGAGUUGCCAUUGCUUUUCUUCCUUCUUGGACGCUACGCGGCGUCGUCGAUUAGUUUUGCAUAACCUUCUUCUCCAUUAUUGAAGCUGGACAACGCCCUUAGCGUGCGGAUAAGUCGAACAGCUCGCGCCAUUGGAUCGAUACAGCACACCACCUCCCUCCGGAAGACGUUUGGAAUCCGGCUCUCCAGCAAGCAGCGGAUACUCAUCAGCAGUGCGAAAAGAAAGCGAUGAAGCCAACGGCUCUUGUCCCUGUCCGUCCGGAGAACCGAUGCCGGUGUCAUAAUAUGAUCACGCGCAUGGCCCUUGCGGACUGCCAGCCAGUAGAGCACCACCGCAAAAAGCGCAACAGUGUGUAUUCGAUCUGGGACGGACGGCGUAUUUCGCUUCAUCUCCGAUUUGGAGAUAUUGGUAUGUGUGUGUGAGAGAGAAAGAGCGAACAAGGGCACAAUACAGAACACUCUGCACAGUAGCCACCGACACCAGCAGGCACCGAAACCUUCCCCGUGUAUCGAUCGAAGCAACCAGCCGGCUCGAUAAAUCUCUAUUUUCUCUCACUCCACCAUCUGGACAGCACAAAACAGAAUCCUGGAGGAGUGUGGUAGCAUGAGCCACAAAAACUCCGGAUGACCAGUACGAAAAAUUGGUCCUCACUCCAGUACCACGAACAGGUUGGACCUGCAACUAUCCACCGGGGUCCGUUGACGAACAGGUUUUCCUUGACCAUCGCCAUCCGUGGGCAUUCCGCGUGUUCAAGUACCCCUCUCGGCGUACGCACACCAACACACCGUUCUUCUGUUGCGCGUUGGUUGCAUCAGCGUGGCGCCCUCGCUGCACCCAAGCCAAGAUCGUAAAAUGUAAGCCAGGAGCCUUGGCAUUUCUCCCCGAAAUGGGAUUGCUGUGUAGAAGAGGGCACAGGGAGAGAGGUUGGGAGAAAUGAUUUGAAUAAAAAUAAAACUGAUAAUGUAAAGCCCUGUAUGAAGCAACUUUACAAUUUUGGAAUUUAAUGUGCAAAAAAACAAUGUAAGUAAAGAGUUAACAUCAAUUUAGAAAGAAAAAAAACUUUAAGUAAAAUAUAGAAAUGAAAGUGUAAGAAAAUGUAAAAAAGAAAUAACAUAACUUACAAACGAGGAAUAAUUGAGAAAAAUAAAAACAAAUGAAAGUUGAAGAGUAAUAUGGAAACAUGAGAACAUGAGAACAUAAACAUAAGAUUAACAUUUUCAAAAAACAUAAUAAGACAAACAAUACACAAUGACGAACGCGAAAAUCACCCAAAAGACAUAACAACAUCAACAACAUGAUGAAACAACACAAAACAAAACAUGAUAAAAAUAAAAAAACACCAACAAAUAGAAAGUAGGAGAGAAAAAAGUAAAACAAAAUCAGCGAACACAAAACAAUCUCAAAGGGAAAAACAACAAGACCAAACCAAUCCAUCGGACAAGUGAAAAUAUAGAACACAGACAAACUUGACUAACGAACGAACCAUCGGAACGAAACAACGCGGAUUUCUUUCAAGUGGGAAAGACAAAAUUAAGAGCCAAUUUGUUUUAAAUAAUUAGUUAAAUAAAGGCAUUACUUCAUUUUUGCCAAAUGCGCAUAAGUCGCACACGCGUACGAUUUUAACAUUCUUAGCCAAUUAGGAUUGUUCUUGUGGGGGAAGAAAUGGGGGGGCACAUGUUUUAUAGCUUAAACUUUAAGCACUUGUUUUCUCUUUCUCUAAUUGUUGUUACAAAGCGGAAAGGAUAUACGAGUUCCUCUAUUUUUCUUCUUCUUCACUCACUUUUUCCCGGACACUCGAUUCUCUUGUUAGUGUAAUUUGCGUUUAAUUUUGCUUGGCUUCUCUAGAGGUAAACACGUUGUAUAUUAGAGAUAUAAUUUUGUUUUUGGAACUCUCUCUCUCUUUCUCUGCGUUAGUCAAGCUGUCUCGUAAAGGAGGACACGACCUGGAGUAUAAUUUUGCAAACACCAGCCCCUGAACACGACAUCGAUUUUCCACGAAACCACACAACACAGCAAGCAACAACGGAAUAGAACCACCACCGCACCCAUCCCCCGCCUCUUGCUUCGGAUACAACAUUUUGCUUUUCAACCUCCUCUCCCCUUUCGGACAGGGAAAAUCGGGCGAAAUAAUUCAAACACACAAGAGCGGGUUUUUUGUUUGUUUUCUCUUUUUUCUUGUUCGUUUUUGUUUUCGUGUGAAUGGUAAUUAUUAGAGGAGAGGUAUUAAUUUUCUUUUCCACUUUCUUCUGCGUUUUGUUGGUUCGAUUUAUAAUAAGCGCUGCUCUUUGCUGAUGUUUUUUUUCCCUGCCCUCAAAAAGACUCGCCCCUACACCCUACACACUGCGCUGCUGCUCCCCCAUGUUUCUUCCGAAGUCCCACAGAUUAA